This 262-nucleotide unclassified non-coding RNA is filed under the name fungal sp. RNAcentral describes it as "partial internal transcribed spacer region". The stretch from base 1 to 46 matches the Rfam family "Eukaryotic small subunit ribosomal RNA", at positions 1786 to 1831 of the family's 1831-position model. The record is from RNAcentral. Lineage: Eukaryota; Fungi.
AAGUCGUAACAAGGUUUUCGUAGGUGAACCUGCGAAAGGAUCAUUAAUGUUUCUAAUAUAAAAAUAAAUAGUUUAUAUUAAUAUAAAUUAUUAUUAUUAUUAUAAAAUUAUUAUGAAUAGAGGUGUUGUCGGUUUAAUUUUAACUGUUGUUAAAACUAAAAUCGUACCUCUUUUAUUUUUGACUUUUAGUCAAAAAUAAAAAAACAAAAUACAAAUUAUUAAACCAAAGAUUACCCUGAACGGUAGAUCACUUGGCUCGUGG